Molecule: ribosomal RNA, 348 nt
Filed under: uncultured bacterium
Lineage: Bacteria
Description: bacterial SSU rRNA
Rfam family: Bacterial small subunit ribosomal RNA
Source: RNAcentral
AAAGGCCCUUCGGGGUACUCGAGCGGCGAACGGGUGAGUAACACGUGAGUAAUCUGCCCCUAGCUCUGGGAUAGCUCCGGGAAACCGGGAUUAAUACCGGAUACGACCCCUUCGGACAUCUGAAGGGGUGGAAAGAUUUAUCGGCUAGGGAUGAGCUCGCGGCCUAUCAGCUUGUUGGUGGGGUAACGGCCCACCAAGGCGACGACGGGUAGCCGGCCUGAGAGGGCGACCGGCCACACUGGGACUGAGACACGGCCCAGACUCCUACGGGAGGCAGCAGUGGGGAAUAUUGCGCAAUGGGCGAAAGCCUGACGCAGCGACGCCGCGUGGGGGAUGAAGGCCUUCGGG